AUCAAGACUGUCCUGUGUAAAAACGAGCGUGAACAAACGAAUCCACUAGAUGUUGAACCCCAACCUCACAUCAUGCAUCUGUUGGAAGAUUGUCCUAUAGGUAACUACUUGAAUUCCCACCUAAGAACUCCCGAAAUUUUCGGUCAUGCAAUCGGGUCCACUGAUACAAGGAGUAAGAUCCAUCACUCAACUCCUAGCAAUAACACUAGACGUCCAGUGUAUCAC
This 225-nucleotide long non-coding RNA is filed under the name Hordeum vulgare. RNAcentral describes it as "long non-coding RNA (HVUL_LNC019309)". The record is from RNAcentral. Lineage: Eukaryota; Viridiplantae; Streptophyta; Magnoliopsida; Poales; Poaceae.